This 73-nucleotide transfer RNA is filed under the name Chroomonas mesostigmatica CCMP1168. RNAcentral's name for it is "tRNA-Arg". It matches the Rfam family "tRNA". Rfam says of the family: Transfer RNA (tRNA) molecules are approximately 80 nucleotides in length. Their secondary structure includes four short double-helical elements and three loops (D, anti-codon, and T loops). The record is from RNAcentral. Lineage: Eukaryota; Cryptophyceae; Pyrenomonadales; Chroomonadaceae.
AUCCCUGUAGCAUAGUGGAUAAUGCGUCUGUCUCCUAAACAGAAGGUCGUGGGUUCGAAUCCCAUUUGGGAUA